AAGUGCUGCAGUUCUUCUAGAAUUGUCUAGCAGGUCUUCCGGGUUUUUAACCAGAAACCCUC
Molecule: small nuclear RNA, 62 nt
Organism: Callithrix jacchus (white-tufted-ear marmoset)
Lineage: Eukaryota; Metazoa; Chordata; Mammalia; Primates; Cebidae
Gene: U7
Rfam family: U7 small nuclear RNA
About the family: Animal histone pre-mRNAs are spliced by a different mechanism than nuclear pre-mRNAs and self-splicing introns. This processing involves the U7 snRNP, which contains only one RNA species: U7.
Source: Ensembl